CACAUGCAAGUCGAACGGUAACAGGCCUUCGGGUGCUGACGAGUGGCGGACGGGUGAGUAACGCGUAGGAAUCUGCCCUGUAGUGGGGACAACGUGGGGAAACUCACGCUAAUACCGCAUACGCCCUGAGGGGGAAAGCGGGGGACCUUCGGGCCUCGCGCUAUGGGAUGAGCCUGCGUGGGAUUAGCUAGUUGGUAGGGUAAAGGCCUACCAAGGCGACGAUCCCUAGCCGGCCUGAGAGGGUGGCCGGCCACACUGGGACUGAGACACGGCCCAGACUCCUACGGGAGGCAGCAGUGGGGAAUAUUGGACAAUGGGCGCAAGCCUGAUCCAGCAAUGCCGCGUGUGUGAAGAAGGCCUGAGGGUUGUAAAGCACUUUCAGUGGGGAGGAAAAAGCGAAGGUUAAUACCCUUGGUCUUGACAUUACCCAGAGAAGAAGCACCGGCUAACUCCGUGCCAGCAGCCGCGGUAAUACGGAGGGUGCGAGCGUUAAUCGGAAUUACUGGGCGUAAAGCGUGCGUAGGCGGCUAUUUAAGUCAGAUGUGAAAGCCCCGGGCUUAACCUGGGAACGGCAUUUGAUACUGGGUAGCUAGAGUUUGGUAGAGGGGAGUGGAAUUUCAGGUGUAGCGGUGAAAUGCGUAGAGAUCUGAAGGAACACCAGUGGCGAAGGCGGCUCCCUGGACCAGAGCUGACGCUGAGGCACGAAAGCGUGGGUAGCAAACAGGAUUAGAUACCCUGGUAGUCCACGCCGUAAACGAUGCCGACUAGCCGUUGGGUCUUUAAGGAGGCUUGGUGGCGCAGCUAACGCAAUAAGUCGGCCGCCUGGGGAGUACGGC
Molecule: ribosomal RNA, 836 nt
Filed under: uncultured Methylobacter sp.
Lineage: Bacteria; Pseudomonadati; Pseudomonadota; Gammaproteobacteria; Methylococcales; Methylococcaceae
Description: bacterial SSU rRNA
Rfam family: Bacterial small subunit ribosomal RNA
Source: RNAcentral